Molecule: ribosomal RNA, 256 nt
Filed under: uncultured bacterium
Lineage: Bacteria
Description: partial small subunit ribosomal RNA
Rfam family: Bacterial small subunit ribosomal RNA
Source: RNAcentral
AGACGAACGCUGGCGGCGUGCUUAACACAUGCAAGUCGAACGGUGAAGCCCUUCCGGGGUGGGAUCAGUGGCGAACGGGUGAGUAACACGUGAGCAAUCUGCCCUUGACUCUGGGAUAACUUCGGGAAACCGGAGCUAAUACCGGAUACGACACACGAUCGCAUGGUCUGUGUGUGGAAAGAUUUAUUGGUCAGGGAUGAGCUCGCGGCCUAUCAGCUUGUUGGUGGGUAAUGGCCUACCAAGGCGACGACGGGUA